GCCAGGUGUGGUGGCGUGUACCUGUAGUCCCAGCUACUCAGGAGGCUGAGGUGGCAGAAUCACUUGAGCCCAAGAGUUUGAGGCUGCAGUGAACCAUGAUCGUGCCACUGCACUCCAGCUUGGGCAACAGAGUGAGACCCUGUCUCCA
This is an unclassified non-coding RNA of Pongo abelii (Sumatran orangutan), 148 nucleotides long. It matches the Rfam family "Metazoan signal recognition particle RNA". Rfam says of the family: The signal recognition particle (SRP) is a universally conserved ribonucleoprotein. It is involved in the co-translational targeting of proteins to membranes. Lineage: Eukaryota; Metazoa; Chordata; Mammalia; Primates; Hominidae. The record is from Ensembl.